This 739-nucleotide ribosomal RNA is filed under the name uncultured archaeon. RNAcentral's name for it is "bacterial SSU rRNA". It matches the Rfam family "Archaeal small subunit ribosomal RNA", at positions 134 to 874 of the family's 1478-position model. The record is from RNAcentral.
GGCCAACUGGGUAUAAUCCCCGAUAGAUCUCGGUCGCUGGAAAGCCCCGAGAGCGGAAGCUCCGGCGCCAGAGGAUGGGUCUGCGGCCUAUCAGGUAGUAGUGGGUGUAGCGUACCUACUAGCCUACGACGGGUACGGGUUGUGAGAGCAAGAGCCCGGAGAUGGAUUCUGAGACACGAAUCCAGGCCCUACGGGGUGCAGCAGGCGCGAAAACUUUACAAUGCCGGCAACGGCGAUAAGGGGACCUCGAGUGCCAGGUUACAAAUCUGGCUGUCGUGAUGCCUAAAAAGCAUUGCAUAGCAAGGGCCGGGCAAGACCGGUGCCAGCCGCCGCGGUAACACCGGCGGCUCGAGUGGUAACCGUUAUUAUUGGGUCUAAAGGGUCUGUAGCCGGCCGGAUAAGUCUCUUGAGAAAUCCAGUAGCUCAACUGUUGGGCUUUCAGGAGAUACUGUCUGGCUCGAGGCCGGGAGAGGUGAGAGGUACUUCAGGGGUAGGGGUGAAAUCUUGUAAUCCUUGAAGGACCACCAGUGGCGAAGGCGUCUCACCAGAACGGACCUGACGGCAAGGGACGAAAGCUAGGGGCACGAACCGGAUUAGAUACCCGGGUAGUCCUAGCCGUAAACGAUACUCGCUAGGUGUCGGCCACGGUGCGACCGUUGUCGGUGCCGUAGGGAAGCCGUGAAGCGAGCCACCUGGGAAGUACGGCCGCAAGGCUGAAACUUAAAGGAAUUGGCGGGGG